AUUGAACGCUGGCGGCAGGCCUAACACAUGCAAGUCGAACGAGAGGCGGCCGGGUGAGUAAUGUCUGAGAAACUGCCUGAUGGAGGGGGAUAACUACUGGAAACGGUAGCUAAUACCGCAUACCAUCAGCUGAGCCCAGAUGGGAUUAGCUAGUUGGUGGGGUAACGGCUCACCAAGGCGACGAUCCCUAGCUGGUCUGAGAGGAUGACCUGCCACACUGGCACUGUGACACGGUCCAGACUCCUACGGGAGGCAGCAGUGGGGAAUAUUGCACAAUGGGCGCAAGCCUGAUGCAGCCAGGCCGCGUGUAUGAAGAAGGCCUUCGGGUUGUAAAGUACUUUCAGCGGGGAGGCGUUACCCGCAGAAGAAGCACCGGCUAACUCCGUGCCAGCAGCCGCGGUAAUUC
This 406-nucleotide ribosomal RNA is filed under the name uncultured bacterium. Its description in RNAcentral is "partial 16S ribosomal RNA". It matches the Rfam family "Bacterial small subunit ribosomal RNA", at positions 30 to 526 of the family's 1533-position model. The record is from RNAcentral.